Molecule: ribosomal RNA, 445 nt
Filed under: uncultured bacterium
Lineage: Bacteria
Description: partial 16S ribosomal RNA
Rfam family: Bacterial small subunit ribosomal RNA
Source: RNAcentral
GUAGGGAAUAUUGGGCAAUGGAUGCAAGUCUGACCCAGCCAUCCCGCGUGCCGGAAGAAGGCCCUCAGGGUUGUAAACGGCUUUUGACGGUGAAGAAUCGACAGGAUGCGUCCUGUUUUGACGGUAGCCGUUGAAUAAGCACCGGCUAACUCCGUGCCAGCAGCCGCGGUAAUACGGAGGGUGCGAGCGUUGUCCGGAUUUAUUGGGUUUAAAGGGUGCGUAGGCUUGAAGGUCAGUCAGCGGUGAAAAGCUGUCGCUUAACGAUAGUCUUGCCGCAGAUACUUCCUUUCUUGGAUGAGGAGGAGGCCACUGGAACGGAUGGUGUAGCGGUGAAAUGCAUAGAUAUCAUCCAGAACACCGAUUGCGAAGGCAGGUGGCUGUACCUUAAUCGACGCUGAUGCACGAAAGCAUGGGGAGCAAACAGGAUUAGAAACCCCUGUAGUCC